RNAcentral lists this ribosomal RNA (750 nucleotides) under uncultured bacterium. RNAcentral's name for it is "bacterial SSU rRNA". It matches the Rfam family "Bacterial small subunit ribosomal RNA", at positions 89 to 825 of the family's 1533-position model. The record is from RNAcentral.
AAGCGAGCGGCGGAUGGGUGAGUAACACGUGGGGAACCUGCCCCUAAGUCUGGGAUACCAUUUGGAAACAGGUGCUAAUACCGGAUAAUAAAGCAGAUCGCAUGAUCAGCUUUUGAAAGGCGGCGUAAGCUGUCGCUAAGGGAUGGCCCCGCGGUGCAUUAGCUAGUUGGUAAGGUAACGGCUUACCAAGGCGACGAUGCAUAGCCGAGUUGAGAGACUGAUCGGCCACAUUGGGACUGAGACACGGCCCAAACUCCUACGGGAGGCAGCAGUAGGGAAUCUUCCACAAUGGACGCAAGUCUGAUGGAUCAACGCCGCGUGAGUGAAGAAGGUUUUCGGAUCGUAAAGCUCUGUUGUUGGUGAAGAAGGAUAGAGGUAGUAACUGGCCUUUAUUUGACGGUAAUCAACCAGAAAGUCACGGCUAACUACGUGCCAGCAGCCGCGGUAAUACGUAGGUGGCAAGCGUUGUCCGGAUUUAUUGGGCGUAAAGCGAGCGCAGGCGGAAAAAUAAGUCUAAUGUGAAAGCCCUCGGCUUAACCGAGGAACUGCAUCGGAAACUGUUUUUCUUGAGUGCAGAAGAGGAGAGUGGAACUCCAUGUGUAGCGGUGGAAUGCGUAGAUAUAUGGAAGAACACCAGUGGCGAAGGCGGCUCUCUGGUCUGCAACUGACGCUGAGGCUCGAAAGCAUGGGUAGCGAACAGGAUUAGAUACCCUGGUAGUCCAUGCCGUAAACGAUGAGUGCUAAGUGUUG